CACCCCAAGCAAUGGCAAAAUGACCCUUUGUGGGUGGUGGUGUUAUUUCAGUCAGGGGCAGAGCAGAUGGCAGUCCUCUGUUCAUCCUAGCUUGAUGUCUGUCUCGAUGGCCAAAGCUGUUUUAUACCUAGGACACAUAA
Non-coding RNA from Mus musculus (house mouse), 140 nucleotides. Lineage: Eukaryota; Metazoa; Chordata; Mammalia; Rodentia; Muridae. The record is from Rfam.